Molecule: ribosomal RNA, 440 nt
Filed under: uncultured bacterium
Lineage: Bacteria
Description: partial 16S ribosomal RNA
Rfam family: Bacterial small subunit ribosomal RNA
Source: RNAcentral
CCUACGGGUGGCUGCAGUGGGGGAUAUUGCACAAUGGGGGAAACCCUGAUGCAGCGACGCCGCGUGAGUGAUGAAGUAUUUCGGUAUGUAAAGCUCUAUCAGCAGGGAAGAAAAUGACAGUACCUGACCAAGAAGCCCCGGCUAACUACGUGCCAGCAGCCGCGGUAAUACGUAGGGGGCAAGCGUUACUCGGAUUUACUGGGCGUAAAGGGAGCGUAGGCGGGUAUGUAAGUCUGGAGUGAAAUCCCGGGGCCCAACCCCGGGACUGCAUUUGAAACUGUGUAACUGGAGUACAGGAGGGGCAGGCGGAAUUCCUGGUGUAGCGGUGAAAUGCGUAGAGAUCAGGAGGAACACCGGCGGCGAAGGCGGCCUGCUGGACUGAAACUGACGUUGAUGCGCGAAAGCGUGGGGAGCAAACAGGAUUAGAUACCCCAGUAGUC